RNAcentral lists this ribosomal RNA (526 nucleotides) under uncultured bacterium. Its description in RNAcentral is "bacterial SSU rRNA". It matches the Rfam family "Bacterial small subunit ribosomal RNA", at positions 983 to 1509 of the family's 1533-position model. The record is from RNAcentral.
GACAUCCACGGAACUUAGCAGAGAUGCUUUGGUGCCUUCGGGAACCGUGAGACAGGUGCUGCAUGGCUGUCGUCAGCUCGUGUUGUGAAAUGUUGGGUUAAGUCCCGCAACGAGCGCAACCCUUAUCCUUUGUUGCCAGCGGUCCGGCCGGGAACUCAAAGGAGACUGCCAGUGAUAAACUGGAGGAAGGUGGGGAUGACGUCAAGUCAUCAUGGCCCUUACGAGUAGGGCUACACACGUGCUACAAUGGCAUAUACAAAGAGAAGCGACCUCGCGAGAGCAAGCGGACCUCAUAAAGUAUGUCGUAGUCCGGAUUGGAGUCUGCAACUCGACUCCAUGAAGUCGGAAUCGCUAGUAAUCGUGGAUCAGAAUGCCACGGUGAAUACGUUCCCGGGCCUUGUACACACCGCCCGUCACACCAUGGGAGUGGGUUGCAAAAGAAGUAGGUAGCUUAACCUUCGGGAGGGCGCUUACCACUUUGUGAUUCAUGACUAGGGUGAAGUCGUAACAAGGUAGGCGUACGUGU